RNAcentral lists this long non-coding RNA (1288 nucleotides) under Salmo salar (Atlantic salmon). RNAcentral describes it as "lncRNA (ENSSSAG00000102294.1)". Lineage: Eukaryota; Metazoa; Chordata; Actinopteri; Salmoniformes; Salmonidae. The record is from RNAcentral.
UGUAAAGAAAGUUUCCACUGUGACGUUAAUUAACAAGCCUUGUAUUUUCUCUGCGGAGGCGUCAGCAAUGGGGUCAGGGACGAAUACCUCUGCUCCACUGCAGUCAAGGGUCUGAAAAUAUUGACUGUUAAAAUCCUCUGCUCUUAAACUGGAUGGGCUGCUGGUGUUAGUUUAGUUGCUGGUGUUAGUUUAACUGGUGGUGGUGUUAGUUUAGCUGGUGGUGGUGUUAGUUUAGCUGGUGGUGGUGUUAGUUUAGCUGGUGGUGGUGUUAGUUUAGCUGGUGGUGGUGUUAGUUUAGCUGGUGGUGGUGUUAGUUUAGCUGGUGGUGGUGUUAGUUUAGCUGGUGGUGGUGUUAGUUUAGCUGGUGGUGGUGUUAGUUUAGCUGGUGGUGUUAGUUUAGCUGGUGGUGUUAGUUUAGCUGGUGGUGGUGUUAGUUUAGCUGGUGGUGGUGUUAGUUUAGCUGGUGGUGGUGUUAGUUUAGCUGGUGGUGGUGUUAGUUUAGCUGGUGGUGGUGUUAGUUUAGCUGGUGGUGGUGUUAGUUUAGCUGGUGGUGUCAGUUUAGUUGGUGGUGGUGUUAGUUUAACUGGUGGUGGUGUUAGUUUAGCUGGUGGUGGUGUUAGUUUAACUGGUGGUGGUGUUAGUUUAGCUGGUGGUGUUAGUUUAGCUGGUGGUGUUAGUUUAGCUGGUGGUGUUAGUUUAACUGGUGUUAGUUUAGCUGGUGGUGGUGUUAGUUUAGCUGGUGGUGGUGUUAGUUUAGCUGGUGGUGGUGUUAGUUUAGCUGGUGGUGUUAGUUUAGCUGGUGGUGGUGUUAGUUUAGCUGGUGGUGGUGUUAGUUUAGCUGGUGGUGGUGUUAGUUUAGCUGGUGGUGGUGUUAGUUUAGCUGGUGGUGUUAGUUUAGCUGGUGGUGUUAGUUUAGCUGCUGGUGGUGUUAGUUUAGCUGGUGGUGGUGUUUGUUUAGCUGGUGGCGGUGUUAGUUUAGCUGGUGGUGGUGUUAGUUUAGCUGGUGGUGUUAGUUUAGCUGGUGGUGGUGUUAGUUUAGCUGGUGGUUGUGUUAGUUUAGCUGGUGGUGUUAGUUUAGCUGGUGGUGGUGUUAGUUUAGCAGGUGGUUGUGUUAGUUUAGCUGGUGGUGGUGUUAGUUUAACUGGUGGUGUUAGUUUAGCUGGUGGUGGUGUUAGUUUAACUGGUGGUGGUGUUAGUUUAGCUGGUGGUGGUGUUAGUUUAGCUGGUGGUGGUGUUAGUUUAACUGGUGGUGGUGUUAGUUUAGCUGGUGGUGUUAGUUUAGCUGGUG